UGGCUGCAGUCGAGAAUAUUCCACAAUGGGCGAAAGCCUGAUGGAGCGACACCGCGUGCAGGAAGACGGCCUUCGGGUUGUAAACUGCUUUUCUAGGGGAAGAAAUUUUGACGGUACUUUAGGAAUAAGGAGUGGCUAAAUUCGUGCCAGCAGCAGCGGUAAUACGAAUACUCCAAGCGUUAUCCGAAUUUAUUGGGCGUAAAGCGUACGUAGGGGGCUUGAUGCGUCUAUUGUUAAAUCUCACCGCCCAACGGUGAGGCCGCAGUAGAUACGGUCAGGCUAGAAGAUGCGAGAGGUCUGUGGAACGCACGGUGUAGGGGUGGUAUCCGUUGAUAUCGUGCGGAACACCAAAGGCGAAGGCAGCAGACUGGCGUACUCUUGACCCUGAGGUACGAAAGCGUGGGUAGCGAACGGGAUUAGAUACCCGUGUAGUC
RNAcentral lists this ribosomal RNA (434 nucleotides) under uncultured microorganism. RNAcentral describes it as "bacterial SSU rRNA". It matches the Rfam family "Bacterial small subunit ribosomal RNA", at positions 346 to 795 of the family's 1533-position model. The record is from RNAcentral.